UCUUCAAGCGAACCGUACGCGAUGCUAUUAUUCCACUUUUCUCGUCGUACCUUGACACACUAAAAUUGAUCAAGUGCGGAGAAUUGGAAAUUUUCAUUUGAAACUACUAACCGACCAACGGUAGUCAUACCUUGGCAAGUCGCGGGCUGACAGUUGCGUUAACUAUCGGAACGUUCUCCGCCAAGUAUGAGAACAGUCACGGCAAUCAAUGUGGCGGAUAGUCACGUUCGCGGGAGUGUAGUUUGAAAAUUUCUAAGUUGCUUCCACUACUGUUUACGAAGCGCGUAGAUUGUGAUGAAAUCGCAAACUGAGAUAGCCGCGCGAGAUAGCUGGUGGAUGAUAAUCCAAACGCCCGGAGUUCGAACCCACAUCGGAGCAGUUUUCACCAAACAUCAAUCUGUGCCAUUUUAAACAUUCAUAUUCCACUCCCAACACAAGUCAAUC
Toxorhynchites rutilus septentrionalis is the source of this 444-nucleotide long non-coding RNA. RefSeq lists it as uncharacterized. The record is from RefSeq and is a predicted model, not a curated record. The transcript has 3 exons. NCBI's taxonomy places the organism in Eukaryota, Metazoa, Arthropoda, Insecta, Diptera, Culicidae.